GCCUCACUCUCAGAGAAAUCAGUAGUACUGCUAGGUUUUACACAGUAAUAAUAUAUAUCUGCCUCACUCUCAGAGAAAUCAGUAGUACUGCUAGGUUUUACACAGUAAUAAUAUAUAUCUGCCUCACUCUCAGAGAAAUCAGUAGUACUGCUAGGUUUUACACAGUAAUAAUAUAUAUCUGCCCCUCUCUCAGAGAAAUCAGUAGUACUGCUAGGUUUUACACAGUAAUAAUAUAUAUCCGCCUCACUCUCAGAGAAAUCAGUAGUACUGCUAGGUUUUACACAGUAAUAAUAUAUAUCCGCCUCACUCUCAGAGAAAUCAGUAGUACUGCUAGGUUUUACACAGU
Molecule: long non-coding RNA, 346 nt
Organism: Oncorhynchus tshawytscha (Chinook salmon)
Lineage: Eukaryota; Metazoa; Chordata; Actinopteri; Salmoniformes; Salmonidae
Source: Ensembl